UGCAGAGGUCCCAAGCGUUGUUCGGAUUCACUGGGCGUAAAGGGUGCGUAGGCGGUCGGGUAAGUCUGAUGUGAAAUCUCACAGCUUAACUGUGAAACUGCAUUGGAUACUAUCCGGCUAGAGGAAUGGAGGGGAGACUGGAAUACUUGGUGUAGCAGUGAAAUGCGUAGAUAUCAAGUGGAACACCAGUGGCGAAGGCGAGUCUCUGGACAUUUCCUGACGCUGAGGCACGAAAGCCAGGGGAGCAAACGGG
This 253-nucleotide ribosomal RNA is filed under the name uncultured bacterium. RNAcentral's name for it is "partial 16S ribosomal RNA". It matches the Rfam family "Bacterial small subunit ribosomal RNA", at positions 524 to 776 of the family's 1533-position model. The record is from RNAcentral.